This 411-nucleotide ribosomal RNA is filed under the name uncultured bacterium. RNAcentral describes it as "bacterial SSU rRNA". It matches the Rfam family "Bacterial small subunit ribosomal RNA", at positions 370 to 772 of the family's 1533-position model. The record is from RNAcentral.
AAUGGGGGAAACCCUGACGCAGCGACGCCGCGUGAGCGAAGAAGGCCUUAGGGUUGUAAAGCUCUGUUCUAUGGGACGAACGGCUAGACGAGAAAUAUGCGUUUAGAAUGACGGUACCAUAGGAGGAAGCCCCGGCUAACUACGUGCCAGCAGCCGCGGUAAGACGUAGGGGGCGAGCGUUGUCCGGAAUUACUGGGCGUAAAGCGCGUGUAGGCGGCCUUUUAAGUCUGAUGUGAAAGCCCCGGGCUCAACCUGGGAAGUGCAUUGGAAACUGGGAGACUGGAGUACGGGAGAGGAGAGUGGAAUUCCUAGUGUAGGAGUGAAAUCCGUAGAUAUUAGGAGGAACACCGGUGGCGAAGGCGGCUCUCUGGACCGAUACUGACGCUGAGACGCGAAAGCGUGGGUAGCAAA